Molecule: ribosomal RNA, 235 nt
Filed under: uncultured Actinomycetales bacterium
Lineage: Bacteria; Bacillati; Actinomycetota; Actinomycetes; Actinomycetales
Description: partial 16S ribosomal RNA
Rfam family: Bacterial small subunit ribosomal RNA
Source: RNAcentral
UGGCGAACGGGUGAGUAACACGUGGGUGAUCUGCCCUGCACUCUGGGAUAAGCCUGGGAAACUGGGUCUAAUACCGGAUAGGACCAUGCUUUAGUGUGUAUGGUGGAAAGUUUUUUCGGUGUAGGAUGAGCCCGCGGCCUAUCAGCUUGUUGGUGGGGUAAUGGCCUACCAAGGCGGCGACGGGUAGCCGGACUGAGAGGUUGGUCGGCCACAUUGGGACUGAGAUACGGCCCAG